This 75-nucleotide transfer RNA is filed under the name Anguilla anguilla (European eel). Its description in RNAcentral is "tRNA-OTHER". Lineage: Eukaryota; Metazoa; Chordata; Actinopteri; Anguilliformes; Anguillidae. The record is from RNAcentral.
GGCACGGUGGUGCGGUGGAUAGCGCUGUCGCCUCCCGGCAAGAAGGCCCCGGGUUCGAAUCCCGGCCGAGGGCCU